Molecule: RNA transcript, 5884 nt
Organism: Cynocephalus volans (Philippine flying lemur)
Lineage: Eukaryota; Metazoa; Chordata; Mammalia; Dermoptera; Cynocephalidae
Gene: MFHAS1
Gene name: multifunctional ROCO family signaling regulator 1
Exons: 4
Source: RefSeq, a predicted model, not a curated record
UGCGCUAGCACCCUCCGGCGCCGGCCGCCCAGGGGUGGUGGGAAGGGAGGAGCGGGAGCGACAGGGCCCGGCUGCCGGGCGCCGGCCCGGGCGCAGAGCGGCAUGUAGCUGUGGGCUCCCGCGCCCGCGCGAGGGUGUCGGCCCGGGGCCCCGCCAUGGCUGGGAAGGACAGCGGCAACCUGAAGACGGUGAGGCUGUGGCGGGACGCCGCCCUGCGCGCCAGGAAGCUGCGGAGCAACCUGCGCCAGCUCACCCUCAGCGCGGCCGGGGGCUGCCCCGGGGCCGGAGCCGACCCGCUCGAGUCCCCCGACACCCCCCAGCUCGUGCUGCCGGCCACCAUCGGCGACAUUGAGGUGCUGAACCUGGGGAACAACGGCCUGGAGGAGGUGCCCGACGGGCUGGGGUCGGCGCUGGGCAGCCUGCGCGUCCUGGUCCUGCGCAGGAACCGCUUCGGCCGGCUGCCCUCGGCGGUGGCCGAGCUCGGCCACCACCUCACCGAGCUGGACGUGAGCCAUAACCGGCUGACCGCCCUGGGCGCCGAGGUGGUGAGUGCUCUAAGGGAGCUGCGCAAGCUCAACCUCAGCCACAACCAGCUGCCCGCCCUGCCCGCCCAGCUGGGCGCCCUCGCCCACCUGGAGGAGCUGGAUGUCAGCUUUAACCGGCUGGCGCACCUGCCUGACUCCCUGUCCUGCCUCUACCGCCUGCGCACCCUCGACGUGGACCACAACCAGCUCACCGCCUUUCCCCGGCAGCUGCUGCAGCUGGCGGCCCUGGAGGAGCUGGACGUGUCUAGCAACCGGCUGCGGGGUCUGCCUGAGGAUAUCAGUGCCCUGCGUGCCCUCAAGAUCCUCUGGCUGAGUGGGGCCGAGCUGGGCACCCUGCCCAGCGGCUUCUGCGAGCUGGCCAGUUUGGAGAGUCUCAUGCUAGACAACAACGGGCUGCAGGCUCUGCCCGCCCAGUUCAGCAGCCUGCAACGGCUCAAAAUGCUCAACCUCUCGUCUAACCUCUUCGAGGAGUUCCCUGCCGCGCUGCUGCCCCUGGCUGGCCUGGAGGAGCUCUACCUGAGUCGCAACCAGCUCACGUCAGUGCCAUCCCUUAUCUCGGGGCUGGGCCGGCUGCUCACCCUGUGGCUGGACAACAACCGCAUCCGCUACCUGCCGGACUCCAUUGUGGAGCUGACCGGCCUGGAGGAGCUCGUGCUGCAAGGCAACCAGAUCGCCGUGCUGCCGGACAACUUUGGCCAGCUCUCCCACGUGGGCCUGUGGAAGAUCAAGGACAACCCACUGAUCCAGCCCCCCUACGAGGUCUGUAUGAAGGGGAUCCCCUACAUCGCAGCCUACCAGAAGGAGCUGGCUCACUCCCAGCCCGCCGUGCAGCCCCGCCUCAAGCUGCUCCUGAUGGGCCAUAAGGGUGCGGGAAAGACCCUGCUCCGACACUGCCUCACUGAGGAGAGGGUGGAGGGAAGCCAAGGAGGAGGGGACAAGGACCAGAGCUACGCACCUUCCCCUGCCCCCGGGAGCAAGGGCAUCGAGGUGACUAGCUGGACGGCCGACGCCUCCCGGGGCCUGCGGUUCAUCGUGUACGACCUGGCUGGUGAUGAAAGUUACGAGGUGAUCCAGCCCUUCUUUCUCUCCCCAGGGGCCCUGUAUGUACUAGUGGUCAACUUGGCAACCUAUGAGCCGCGCCGCUUUCCCACCGCCGUGGGCUCCUUUUUGCAUCGGGUGGGGGCGCGGGUGCCUCAUGCCGUGGUGUGCAUCGUGGGCACGCACGCAGACCUGUGCGGGGAGCGGGAGCUGGAGGAAAAGUGUCUGGACAUUCACCGCCAGAUAGCCCUGCAGGAAAAGCACGAUGCGGAGGGGCUGAGCCGUCUAGCUCAGGUGGUCGACGAGGCACUGGCCCGGGACUUUGAGCUGCGCUCUGCCAGCCCCCAUGCAGCCUACUAUGGUGUUUCAGACAAGAACCUUCGCAGGCGCAAGGCCCAUUUUCAGUACCUGCUUAACCACAGGCUGCAGAUCCUCUCCCCGGUGUUGCCUGUUAGCUGCAGGGACCCCCGCCAAUUGCAACGCCUUCGGGACAAGCUCCUCUCGGUAGCUGAGCACCGAGAAAUCUUCCCCAACUUACACAGAGUACUGCCUCGAUCCUGGCAGGUGCUGGAGGAACUGCAUUUCCAGCCACCACAGGCACAGCGACUUUGGCUGAGCUGGUGGGACUCGGCGCGCUUGGGCCUGCAGGCGGGUCUGACCGAGGACCGACUGCAGAGUGCCCUUUCCUACCUGCAUGAGAGCGGCAAGCUGCUCUACUUUGAGGACAGCCCAGCCCUCAAAGAGCACGUCUUCCACAAUCUCACCCGCCUCAUCGACAUCCUCAAUGUCUUCUUCCAGAGGGAUGCUUCCUUGCUGCUGCAUAAACUACUCCUAGGGACCAGUGGAGAGGGUGAGGGGGAAAGCUCCCCAGUGAUGGCGCUUCCCACCCCGAGCCAGGACCUGCUCCCUGCCACCCAGCUCCAUCAUUAUGUGGAGGGAUUUCUGCUGCAUGGGCUCUUGCCAGCCCAUGUCAUUCGGUUGCUGCUUAAGCCUCACGUCCAGGCCCAGCAGGACUUGCAGCUGCUGCUGGAGCUGCUGGAGAAGAUGGGACUCUGUUAUUGCCUCAAUAAACCCAAGGGCAAGCCUUUGAAUGGGUCCACGGCCUGGUACAAGUUUCCAUGCUACGUGCAGAACGAGGUGCCCCAUGCAGAGGCCUGGAUUAAUGGGACCAACCUAUCUGGGCAGUCUUUUGUGGCUGAGCAGUUGCAGAUUGAAUAUUGUUUUCCUUUUACCUUUCCACCUGGGUUGUUUGCACGCUACAGUGUCCAGAUCAACAGCCAUGUGGUGCACAGGUCGGAUGGUAAAUUUCAGAUCUUUGCAUAUAGAGGGAAAGUUCCUGUGGUGGUGAGUUACAGACCUGCCAAGGGGGUCCUGCAGCCAGACACCCUCUCCAUUGCCAGCCAUGCAUCAUUACCAAAUAUAUGGACCGCAUGGCAAGCCAUAACCCCCUUGGUAGAGGAACUGAAUGUCCUUCUUCAGGAAUGGCCUGGACUGCACUACACCGUGCACAUUCUCUGUUCUAAGUGCCUUAAGAGAGGGUCGCCCAAUCCACAUGCUUUCCCAGGGGAGUUGCUGAGUCAGCCCAGACCAGAAGGAGUGGCAGAGAUCAUUUGCCCCAAGAACGGCAGCGAGCGAGUGAAUGUUGCCUUGGUUUACCCACCUACGCCAACUGUGAUCAGCCCCUGUUCCAAGUAUCUUCAUACUUUCUUGGAAAAUUAAGUGGAAAAGAUAGUGCUUCUUUUCCUUAUGCCAUCAUUUUUACUGUACCCAAUCUGUGACUUUAGGAGCACCAGUUUUUAAGGGAAGAACGUUGGUGAAAAGCACAGAAACCAGUGACUUUCGUGGCUGUGGACUUUCCAUGGAGUCAAGAGCAUCAGAACUCACCUGGGCCGUCUUUCGUACCUCCACAUCCCAAGCGUGUUCUGUGAACUUGAGUGCAAAAGCAUUCAGGUGCUGUCCGAGGACUGUUGAAGAGGUGGGGGGGGGAGGGGGGAGAGAAUAUGGAGCAAAUGUUUUACAACCGGAACCUCAGAACUGAUCCUCCAAGGAGAGCGCUACUUGAAGAAAAGGAAAAAAAAGUCGAAUGGCUUCUCAGGGAUUUUGUUUUCCAUGCACAUAUAAGCCAUAGUUACAGUACAGGUGGCAGUAUUUAGAGCACUCAGAUUUCAGUUCUGUUCAAUGUGAAAGAGGGAUCGACUGACGUUCAUUGCUGUUCCGUAACUAGUGUAAAAUAUGUAUAUGUUUAUCUUUAUUUUUAUAAUAUGCAAAUACAUUUAAAUUUAUACCGUUUGAAGCUUCUAGCGUUAGUUAACACUGGGUGCAAUAUUCUGCAUGAGAACUGUGCCAAGAUGGGGCUGAUUCCUAAUUUUAGUGUAAGACUUCUUGAUUUUUUUUUAAUUCAUUCUUUAAUCUUCCUCCAAUGUUUUUUAAAAAGGUAUCUAUCCAUCUGUUAGCCCGUGGAUUAAGUGUUGAUUCAUAGAGAUUGCCAGUAAUCAGCAAGAUCCUUAAACUUGCAUUUCAGACAGUGUCCCCUUCCUUCUAUUCAAUAAAGGUCCCUGCCUGUGAAUCAACCACGGUGGCAGGAUUAUCCCUUUCCUUUCCCCAGGUUUCAUCAGAGUCGGGCAGAGAUGGGGCAGUCUCUGGGGCCAAAGGGGACAAAGAGUCCGUGGACAAGCUGAGCCUUUCAAUAGCUUGAUAACCAGUAGUUCUGAAUCAUGCGAAGAACUCUGCCAAUAAGUUUCUUCUUUUCCUAGAACAGAGUCUGUGAAAUUUAGCAGAGCCCUUUGCAAGCCCUGCACAUCUGGCUGUCAGACCGAAAGACAGUGAGCUUCCUAACCGGAGAGUAUAAUCCCACUUUAGGUAUUUAUAAAUAUGCAACCUCCUAUUGGAAGAUCUACUGCCAAGAGCUAGUACCACCCUUGUUUUAAAAUCUCCACAAGGUAAAAUUUAAAAAGUACUAAGCAAAUUGCUGUCUAUUCUACUGCUAACUGGGGCCAAACAGCGUAUACUGCAGUAGUAACACAUUCUUUGAAGACUCUGUUUGCAUCUGCCUCCUCCAUGUGUUGAUUGAGAAUGUGUAAAACUUACUUACUAGUGUCAGACAAGAAAAGUGAAUCAGCUGGUAUUACUCUUUCAUUUCUUUUGUAAAGUAUUGUAAACUUCACUGACUCCAGAACCUUCAGUUAAAUGUGUGAUCUCUUAUGAUCAUAAAAUCAAAUAGGAUCAGACUAUUUUUGCAUUUUCUAGUACUUGAAUAUGACAUCUCAAAUUUGAGAUUUUAUUUUCUUUUAGAACACAGUCACAAGACUGAUCUGGUUAAUCCUUUUGUCACAGUUCUCGUGUGUGUGCGCGCGUGCGUGCUUGUAAGUGUAAUCUGAAUGGUAACAUUUAAUUGCUUUAUGGACCAUUGAAUUGUUGGGCAAUAAGUUUUUUAAUUGGCACAAGACAGUUUCUAAAUUGUCAAAUGAGCCAAUUUCGACCAGUCUUUUUAAACAGACUCAAGUGUGUGACUUUGGGCCAACUCCCCAGGGGACCAUAUUAAAUGAAAAAAAAAAAAAAAAAAUGCUCCUCUGGGUGUCAUACCCUGCAAAGUGUUUGCUAUUAUCCUGAACACAAAUGCCCACGUUCUUAAUAUCUGCUGUUUUUUGACAAGUGACGUUUUGUGCUGUCAUCUGAACCCUAGAGAAGCAGUGUAAGCAGAAACGCUGAUGUCGCCUGUGUUUUAGCAAAAGGGUCAUCAUUACAGAGGUUCACAUGACCAAAAGAAGCUCCAGAAACGCUUGAGAAGUAGCCUCAGGGUGUGGGGAGGGUUAGAGAUCUAAAACACUCUGCUCUACAGAAGUUUUCACCAUCUAUGCAGGAAAUUCCGUUUUCUCUUUCAACACCUGGGAAGACUUAGCAGCUUGCCAGGGCCAACAGGCCAUUCCCUUAAGCACAAGAGGGAUUUUUUCCAACCGAGGAGUCCCCUGCCUCUCAAACCACUGCCCUCCAAGUUUGUUAUGCUUUCUGUUCCUGCAACUCGUGGUAUCAAAACCACUUCCUGGAAUUGUAAAAGUGCUGCCAGAAUAAGUGUUAUUCCCCUUCUGAGAAAAAAAAUGGCAGUGCUCAUGUUGGACGCUUGUGCUGUGGGCUCUCUUUUGAAUGCAUAAAAAGGAAAGGGUUUGCUGUAAUUCUGAGGGGGUGUGUGUUGUUUUUCAUGCCACCGUUUGUGAAUUGUAAUUGUGGUUUCCCAGUUCAUUGUCAUAACUGGGCAGAAAUUUUAAAAAAUCCAAUAAAAAUAUAAAGAAAUGGUUAAGCAGUUA